UACGAAGGGGGCUAGCGUUGUUCGGAUUUACUGGGCGUAAAGCGCACGUAGGCGGAUCUUUAAGUCAGAGGUGAAAUCCCAAGGCUCAACCUUGGAACUGCCUUUGAUACUGGGGAUCUUGAGUCCGGGAGAGGUGAGUGGAACUGCGAGUGUAGAGGUGAAAUUCGUAGAUAUUCGCAAGAACACCAGUGGCGAAGGCGGCUCACUGGCCCGGUACUGACGCUGAGGUGCGAAAGCGUGGGGAGCGAACCGG
RNAcentral lists this ribosomal RNA (253 nucleotides) under uncultured bacterium. RNAcentral's name for it is "partial 16S ribosomal RNA". It matches the Rfam family "Bacterial small subunit ribosomal RNA", at positions 524 to 776 of the family's 1533-position model. The record is from RNAcentral.